CAGUCGCCACGGUAAUACGGAGGGUGCAAGCGUUACUCGGAAUCACUGGGCGUAAAGGACGCGUAGGCGGAUUAUCAAGUCUCUUGUGAAAUCUAACGGCUUAACCGUUAAACUGCUUGGGAAACUGAUAAUCUAGAGUAAGGGAGAGGCAGAUGGAAUUCUUGGUGUAGGGGUAAGAUCCGUAGAUAUCAAGAAGAAUACCUAUUGCGAAGGCGAUCUGCUGGAACUUAACUGACGCUAAUGCGUGAAAGCGUGGGGAGCAAACAGGAUUAGAUACCCGAGUAGUCCCUGUCUCUUAUAC
Molecule: ribosomal RNA, 301 nt
Filed under: uncultured bacterium
Lineage: Bacteria
Description: partial 16S ribosomal RNA
Rfam family: Bacterial small subunit ribosomal RNA
Source: RNAcentral